UUCCCGAUGCAUCACCAGCGGUUAUAUAGGAAAGAUACACCGUGUAGGGUCUGGUUAUUAGGAAUAUACAGGAAGUAUUUAUGGUCAGACAAAAAAUGAUGCAGCAUUUGAAACACAGGCCAGCCAUGUUUCUAUUUUCAAUGCUUGGUAACUUGAGAGAGCCACGAUGCUAUCAAUUAUUGCUGAUUCGUUUGGAGGGCAGUAUCUCAUAUAAUUGCUAUUGUCUUCUUGCAAAGCGUCCAAGCUUUUGCAUUUGGUCUCAUGGUUUCACCAGUGGGGAGAAAGGAAGAGGCAACACUAUUCAUUAAGGCUAAUUAAUGAGUUACAGAACUCUCUGGCAGUGCUUACUCAGAAAUCUUGGGGCACCUGAGUGGCUCAGUCAGGCGUCUGACUUUGGCUCAGGUCGUGAUCUCAUGGUUCGUGGGUUCGAGCCCCUGGUCGGACUCUGUGCUGACAGCUCGGAGCCUGCGUGGGGUUCUGUGUCUCCCUCUCUCUCUGUCCCUCCCCCGCUUACAUUCUCUUUCUCUCUUCCAAAAACACGUAAAACAUUUUUUUUUUAAAGAAAUCUUAAGUCCUCAGAGUUGGCAGGCAUACAUCACGAUAGAUUCUAUAACAUUGUAAAAAGUUGUGAUCAUAUGCGGUAAAACUUGGGUGACUCCUACCCCUCUUAAAAGGUGGAAAAGCAGGGUUUAAGAUGCAGGCUUUCGGGGCGCCCGGGUGGCUCAGUCGGUUAAGCGUCCGACUUCGGCUCAGGUCAUGAUCUCCCAGUUUGUGAGUUCGAGCCCCGCGUCGGGCUCUGUGCUGACAGCUCAGAGCCUGGAGCCUGCUUCAUAUUCUGUGUCUCCCUCUCUCUCUGCCCCUCCCCUGCUCAUGCUGUGUCUCUCUCUGUCUCAAAAUAAACAUUAAAAAAAAAAAAAAAAAAAAAGUGCAGGCUUUCCAUUGGGUGACCUGUUCUCAUUGCUUAAAGAGAGAUCUAUGGACUUCUGGUUCAAAAUGGCAGGUCGGGCACCUUUUGCUUCUCUUAUUACUUGAGACCUCCCCCCUGCAAUCAAGAUAUUGAAGUGAAAAAGAAAAAAGGAUGGGGAAGGAAUUGUGAAGGGAGAGAAAAUCACAGAGAACAUCUCAGCACCUUUCUCGAAGAUGGAAAGCUGAUCGUAGAGAGUUUCCGGAUGGAACAGGAAGAGAAAUUACAGCUUCCAGAAGGAAACGGGAGUCAGGGUCUGACAGUGAGGCCCUGGGACUCUGUCAGCAGAUGUGAACGCAGCUGGGAGCGAGAAGUAGGGGGACGAGCCAGAAGACUGGUGGAAGGUCUUCGUGUGGACAAGGCAUCGUCCUCCGGCCUCACCCAGUUCACGUGUAAGGAAAAACGGAUCGGGUCCCUGGCGUAGAGCUGUGCUGCCGUGUAAGAAACACUCUCUUCCCGGUGAGUUUUUACCUGGAAUGGGGAGCUCUGGUUGGGGUGUGGUAGUUACCGAUGGGCACGCUAGAGCUGGGCUACUCCAGGUUCAGGCACCCACACCUGGCCCGUACUUGACUCUAGGCUUCAUUAGAGUUAUUUUCCAUCCUGAGGACGUUGUGUGGCAGGGGUGGGGAGAGGGGGGAGGACGGUGGUGGGGUGCGGACAGGGAAGCCUGUGCAGAUGUGGACUUGUGGGUUCCAGGCCCACAUCGGGCUCUGUGCUGACAACUCAGAUUCUGGAGCCUGCUUGGGAUGCUGUGUUUCCCUCUCUCUCUCUCUCUGCCCCUCCCCAGCUCGCACUCUGUCUCUCUCAAAAAUAAACAUUAAAAUAUUAAAAAAAAAAAAAAACCCCACAAACCAAACCAUGAAAUGUCCAACUUUAAGUUCAAACAUCCCCACGAGGAACGGCGACUCUGCAGCGUGGAAACUGCUGUUAGGCUGGUCCCCUCUGCACAGAACCAGCCCGUGGCCCCAGAGAGCUGGGGGGAUGCGUCCAUUCCUGCUUCUCCUGGGAGGCCUGAGAAUUUUCCAGUGAACUCAGCAGCGAAAGGAACAGAAGUCUCCAGUUAAAGCUCGGGUUAAAUAUUAAGUUUGCUCAGCCCUUUCAUUCACAGUGUUUUAACUUUACGUGGUAUUGAAGUCCUGGCCUGUGAAUUAUUUGCACAGGUCCUCCUGCUGGGAAGGACCUCCCGUCCUGUGGAAUUCAAUCAACCAUCACCCAGGGGGCACAGCUGGCACUUCCUGGUCCCUUUACAGACCUUGGUUCCUUAAAGGAGCCUCUCCACAACCUCCUUCCUCCGUUUUAUGGACGGCAAAGCCGAGGCUCAGAGGAGCAGUGGACUUGCCUAAGGUCUUGAAGUUAGGAAGUUGCAACGGUGGGACUCGAACCCAAGUCCGUCGAGUCCCCGUGGUCUUUUUGUUACGCUGGCUCCACCCAGAUAUCGAGAAAAUCAGCAGAAUAGACAAACUGACCUCCGUGUAAGGAAUGACCACCCUGGUACCCAGAGUUACCAUGUAGGUACGGGUGACCAACCGUCUCUGUUUGCCCAGGACCGAGCGUAUUCCUGGGUUGUGGGACUUUCGACCCAUGAGUUGGUCACCCCACAGGUAGGGUUGUACAGAUUAUUUACUGAACAAAAGCGCCUGACCCAGGAGCAGGAAGAGGCUGCCGUUCAGCCGUGCUCCACGCACCCAGCUGUCCCCUGUGCAUCAGGGCUGUGUCCCCUCCCCGCCAAGGAAGGUGCAGUGUGGACUAGCAGAGGCCCAAGGGCAGCCUGUCUCAAGAUGAGCCACAUUGGCAUGGGGAUUAUUUUGAGCUGAAGGCAAUUGAGAUCCUACAGGCUCAAGAGAAACGUUUGCCCCUCUUUCAACUACAUAAAAGAAUCUAAAUCAGAGGAUCUUUCCAGAAAUAAGGGUUAUUACCAGAGAUAAGUUUUAUCUUGAGUGACCCAUCUGUAUGGCAGGGCAAAUGUUGGUUUUCCAAACAUGUACUCCUUUUCAUCUUCCUGUGAAUUACAUUCUUUCCCUUUGGAGUCUGAGACCCCUACCCCCUUCUUCUUAGUUCAGAAUGGCAUACGUACCUCAUUUUGCCUGUCUUCGGAAUUUCCACGUCUGUGUGGAUUCCCUGUACGUAUGCUAUUAAAUCUGCUUUCCUCCUUUCCUCCUGAUUCUUAGUCCAGCUAGAAUGACCCUUGAAGGGGACAGGAAUUCUUGCUUCCUGAUGCUGGCUACGGUCCCACCAAUUCCUCUGACAUUACUAACCCAGAAGUUUAUAAGCAGAUGAGUAAUCAAGGUAAUGUCCUCAUUUUUUUUUUUUUUUUUGAGACAGAGAGAGAAAGUGAUCGAGGGGCACAGAGAAAAAGAGAGAGAAUCCUACAAGGGGCAGAGAGAGAGAGAAGUGGAGCUCACCCAAAGUGGGACUCGAACUCACAAACUGUGAGCUCAUGCCCUGAGUCAGAUGCUUAACCGACUGAGCCACCCAGGCACCCGGGAAUGCACUUUCCAUCUUGGAAUCUCCAGCCAAUGACUUGUGAGCAAAACUGAAUGCGUGCUUCUGGGCUACGGCCAUCAGUUCUGCUGAAAGUUCUCAAAUGGUCUUCCUCUGUGCCACAGUGAGGGCAACGUUCAAGAUGGCGGCAGCUCUGUCCCAGGGGUCCUGUCACUGAACAGAUCCCCUGGCUAACGUGUGAUCGACAUGGAGCCUAGUUGUGAUGGUUGGUUCUAUGUGUCAACUUCAUGGAGCUAAGGGAUGCCCAAACAGCUGGUGAAACAUCAUUUGUGGGAGCGUCUGGGAGAGUGUUUCCAGAAGACAUUAGCAUUUGAAUCGGCAGAUCGGGUAAAGAGAUGUCUUCACCUGUGUGGCCGAAGGUUCUGAUCAGAACAGAAAGGAGGAAGGGUGAGUUCUCACUCUCAGCUUGGGGACCCCAUCUUCUCCUGCCCUUGGACAUUGGUGCUCUCUGCUCUCAAGCCUUUCGGACUCGGACUGAAUUGUGCCACCAGCUUUCCGGGAUCUCCAGCUUGCAGACGAGAGAGGGUGGGCCUUCUCAACCUCUACCAUCAUGUAAGCAACUCCUGUAAUAAGCCUCCUCUUACAUAUACGUCACUCUAUACAUCCUAUGGGUUCUGUUUCUCCGGAGAACCCUGGCUAAUACAGGAAGCCGCGAAAAAUCUCCUGAGUGAUACAAAAAGCAAAUUUAUUGUCCUACAUUGAUUAAAAGUUAACACUUCCAGUCAGGCCCUAUGGGGCUUUCUCAGCCACGCUGCCGGCCCCAAGGUUCUGCAUAGUUUUGUGUCCUCCCAACCCUGCAGUAGAUCAACACAGCCCACAGACUCCCUUCUGGGCAAACAGACCUGGAAGAUAGUGGGGGGCUGGGCAAGGAAGGGGUCAGUGACAGCAGGAAGUGAGCUCUGCCCUGGCUAGAGGCUAGCCGUCCUUCUGGAUCAGAAGCCACCAUUCAAGACACUUCUCUAAAGAAGACAUCCGGAUGGCCCACAGGCACAUGAGAAGAUGCUCAACGUUGCUCCUCAUCAGGGAAAUACAAAUCAAAACCGCACUCAGAUAUCACCUCACGCCGAUCAGAGUGGCCAAAAUGAACAAAUCGGGAGACUAUAGAUGCUGGAGAGGAUGUGGAGACACGGGAACCCUCUUGCACUGUUGGUGGGAAUGCAAAUUGGUGCAGCCGCUCUGGAAAGCAGUGUGGAGGUUCCUCAGAAAAUUAAAAAUAGACCUACCCUAGGACCCAGCAAUAGCACUGCUAGGAAUUUAUCCAAGGGAUACAGGAGUACUGGUGCAUAGGGGCACUUGUACCCCAAUGUUUAUAGCAGCACUCUCAACAAUAGCCAAAUUAUGGAAAGAGCCUAAAUGUCCAUCAACUGAUGAAUGGAUAAAGAAAUUGUGGUUUAUAUACACAAUGGAGUACUACGUGGCAAUGACAAAGAACGAAAUCUGGCCGUUUGUAGCAACGUGGAUGGAACUGGAGAGCGUGAUGCUAAGUGAAAUAAGCCAUACAGAGAAAGACAGAUACCAUAUGGUUUCACUCUUGUGUGGCUCCUGAGAAACUUAACAGAAACCCAUGGGGGAGGGGAAGGAAAAAAAGAAAAAAAGAGGUUCGAGUGGGAGAGAGCCAAAGCAUAAGAGACUCUUAAAAACUGAGAACAAACUGAGGGUUG
Molecule: long non-coding RNA, 5127 nt
Organism: Acinonyx jubatus (cheetah)
Lineage: Eukaryota; Metazoa; Chordata; Mammalia; Carnivora; Felidae
Exons: 3
Source: RefSeq, a predicted model, not a curated record